Molecule: transfer RNA, 85 nt
Filed under: Spirochaetes bacterium GWE1_32_154
Lineage: Bacteria; Pseudomonadati; Spirochaetota
Also listed under: 4 other names
Description: tRNA-Leu
Rfam family: tRNA
About the family: Transfer RNA (tRNA) molecules are approximately 80 nucleotides in length. Their secondary structure includes four short double-helical elements and three loops (D, anti-codon, and T loops).
Source: RNAcentral
GCCCGGGUGGUGAAAUUGGUAAACACGCUAGAUUCAGAUUCUAGUGAACGAUAAGUUCCUGUGAGUUCAAGUCUCAUUCCGGGCA